UUAUUUUAGCGGCGGACGGGUGAGUAACGUGUGGGUAACCUGCCUUUUACUGGGGGAAUAAUCACUGGAAACGGUGACUAAUACCGCAUACGGUUCUUGGAAGGCAUCUUCUAAGAAAGAAAGGAUUUAUUCGGUAAAAGAUGGGCCCGCAUCUGAUUAGCUAGUUGGUGAGAUAACAGCCCACCAAGGCGACGAUCAGUAGCCGACCUGAGAGGGUGACCGGCCACAUUGGGACUGAGACACGGCCCAAACUCCUACGGGAGGCAGCAG
Molecule: ribosomal RNA, 270 nt
Filed under: uncultured bacterium
Lineage: Bacteria
Description: partial 16S ribosomal RNA
Rfam family: Bacterial small subunit ribosomal RNA
Source: RNAcentral